ACACAUGCAAGUCGAACGGAGCACCCUUGAUUGAGGUUUCGGCCAAAUGAUAGGAAUGCUUAGUGGCGGACUGGUGAGUAACGCGUGAGGAACCUGCCUUUCAGAGGGGGACAACAGUUGGAAACGACUGCUAAUACCGCAUGACGCAUUUUGAUCGCAUGGUCGAAAUGCCAAAGAUUUAUCGCUGAAAGAUGGCCUCGCGUCUGAUUAGCUAGUUGGUGAGGUAACGGCCCACCAAGGCGACGAUCAGUAGCCGGACUGAGAGGUUGACCGGCCACAUUGGGACUGAGAUACGGCCCAGACUCCUACGGGAGGCAGCAGUGGGGAAUAUUGGGCAAUGGGCGCAAGCCUGACCCAGCAACGCCGCGUGAAGGAAGAAGGCUUUCGGGUUGUAAACUUCUUUUAAGUGGGAAGAGCAGAAGACGGUACCACUUGAAUAAGCCACGGCUAACUACGUGCCAGCAGCCGCGGUAAUACGUAGGUGGCAAGCGUUGUCCGGAUUUACUGGGUGUAAAGGGCGUGCAGCCGGGCAUGCAAGUCAGAUGUGAAAUCUCAGGGCUUAACCCUGAAACUGCAUUUGAAACUGUAUGUCUUGAGUGCCGGAGAGGUAAUCGGAAUUCCUUGUGUAGCGGUGAAAUGCGUAGAUAUAAGGAAGAACACCAGUGGCGAAGGCGGAUUACUGGACGGCAACUGACGGUGAGGCGCGAAAGUGUGGGGAGCAAACAGGAUUAGAUACCCUGG
RNAcentral lists this ribosomal RNA (741 nucleotides) under uncultured bacterium. Its description in RNAcentral is "bacterial SSU rRNA". It matches the Rfam family "Bacterial small subunit ribosomal RNA", at positions 51 to 790 of the family's 1533-position model. The record is from RNAcentral.